RNAcentral lists this transfer RNA (83 nucleotides) under Dichomitus squalens. Its description in RNAcentral is "tRNA-Asp". It matches the Rfam family "tRNA". From Rfam's summary of the family: Transfer RNA (tRNA) molecules are approximately 80 nucleotides in length. Their secondary structure includes four short double-helical elements and three loops (D, anti-codon, and T loops). Further hydrogen bonds mediate the characteristic L-shaped molecular structure. tRNAs have two regions of fundamental functional importance: the anti-codon, which is responsible for specific mRNA codon recognition, and the 3' end, to which the tRNAs corresponding amino acid is attached (by aminoacyl-tRNA synthetases). tRNAs cope with the degeneracy of the genetic code in two manners: having more than one tRNA (with a specific anti-codon) for a particular amino acid; and 'wobble' base-pairing, i.e. permitting non-standard base-pairing at the 3rd anti-codon position. The record is from RNAcentral. RNAcentral also lists the same sequence under 1 other name. Lineage: Eukaryota; Fungi; Basidiomycota; Agaricomycetes; Polyporales; Polyporaceae.
UCUCUGUUAGUAUAUCGGUUAGUACACGCGCCUGUCAUGCUGUGUGGUCGCGCGAAAGCGGGGUUCGACUCCCCGACAGAGAG